RNAcentral lists this long non-coding RNA (617 nucleotides) under Mytilus galloprovincialis (Mediterranean mussel). Lineage: Eukaryota; Metazoa; Mollusca; Bivalvia; Mytilida; Mytilidae. The record is from RNAcentral.
UUUUUGUGUAGGGAUGUAUAAGUACCCGGCCACGUCCACUUGUAUUUUUGUCCAUCUGAUGAGUUAAGCCUUUUUCAACUGAUUUUUAUAUAGUUUUUUCUUAUGUUGUACUGUUAUACCACUGUCACAGGUUAGGGGAGGGUUGGGAUCCCGCUAACAUGUUUAACCCCGCCACAUUAUUUUUAUGUAUGUGCCUGUGUCCAGUCCAGUCAGGAGCCUGUAAUUCAGUGGUUGUCGUUUGUUUAUGUGUUACAUAUUUGUUUUUCGUUCAUUUAUUUAUAUAAAUAAGGCCGUUAGUUUUCUCGUUUGAAUUGUUUUACAUUGUCUUAUCGGGGCCUUUUAUAGCUGACUAUGCGGUAUGGGCUUUGCUCAUUGUUGAAGGCCGUACGGUGACGUUUAGUUGUUAAUGUCUGAGUCAUUUUGGUCUCUUGUGGACAGUUGUCUCAUUGGCAAUCAUACCACAUCUUCUUUUUUAUAUUUGUUCAUUGUUAAGGCUGUAGGGUGACCUUGAGUUGUUAAUUUCUGUUUCAUUUGGUCUCUCAUGGGGAGUUGUCCAAUCAUACCCAUCUUCUUUUUUUAUAUUGUCCUAUGUACUAUGAAAAUAAAGUAAGAUGAAA